Non-coding RNA from Camellia sinensis, 463 nucleotides. Lineage: Eukaryota; Viridiplantae; Streptophyta; Magnoliopsida; Ericales; Theaceae. The record is from RefSeq and is a predicted model, not a curated record.
CUCGCUCUACUCUCUCUUUCAACUCACCACUCCAAUUUUAUUGUUCAUUUGAAGAUGUCGAUCAAUUGUUGAUGAAUAUUUGCAGGUUUUGAUCGAUCGUUGAUGAAGAUUUGAAGAUUUCAAUCUGCUGUUGAUGAAGAUUUCGAUUGAUUCAUGAUCGUUAUGAUUACAAAAGGGAAUAUCAAUUGGGACUUGAGACUACCAUCCUUGUUAAGAAUUAUACUGUAGUGUUAAGGGAGUAGUUGAUAUGAUUGGGUGGGUGAUAUUGAGAGCUAAAUUCAGAUUAUUAUUAUUUUAUUUUAUUUGGAGUACUUGAAUCUAUUAGUAUUUUGUAUAAAUACUUUUAAGGAUGGUUGAUGGAUAUUUGUUUUGCAUGUAUAGAAGUUUAUAUUUUGUAUGCACAUUUUUUUUUUUUUUUUUUGAAGAAAGAUAAUUUUGUUGAGGGAAGUGAUGGAAAAUAAUA